GCCCUGAUAGCUCAGUUGGUAGAGCGCGUCACUAGUAAUGACGAGGUCGCCGGUUCGACUCCGUCUUAGGGCA
Molecule: transfer RNA, 73 nt
Filed under: Erysiphe pulchra
Lineage: Eukaryota; Fungi; Ascomycota; Leotiomycetes; Helotiales; Erysiphaceae
Also listed under: 1 other name
Rfam family: tRNA
About the family: Transfer RNA (tRNA) molecules are approximately 80 nucleotides in length.
Source: Rfam by way of RNAcentral